UCCGAGUUGACCCCGGCAGUCUCCCAUGAGUCCCCGGCAUAACCCGCUGGCAACAUGGAACGAGGGUUGCGCUCGUUGCGGGACUUAACCCAACAUCUCACGACACGAGCUGACGACAGCCAUGCACCACCUGUGAACCUGCCCGUGAGGGAAGCCGUGUUUCCACGGCGGUCAGGCACAUGUCAAACCCAGGUAAGGUUCUUCGCGUUUCGUCGAAUUAAACCACAUGCUCCGCUGCUUGUGCGGGUCCCCGUCAAUUCCUUUGAGUUUUAGCCUUGCGGCCGUACUCCCCAGGCGGGGCACUUAAUGCGUUAGCUGCGGCACGGCGGGAGUCGACACCCGCCACACCUAGUGCCCAUCGUUUACAGCGUGGACUAC
This 378-nucleotide unclassified non-coding RNA is filed under the name uncultured Thermoleophilia bacterium. RNAcentral's name for it is "contains 16S-23S intergenic spacer region". Lineage: Bacteria; Bacillati; Actinomycetota; Thermoleophilia. The record is from RNAcentral.